UUACAAUGAUGUCUUCAAAUGUCUGACCUGAAAAUCUCUGUGUAGACAAGCGUGUCACUGAAAGA
Tachyglossus aculeatus (Australian echidna) is the source of this 65-nucleotide small nucleolar RNA. Lineage: Eukaryota; Metazoa; Chordata; Mammalia; Monotremata; Tachyglossidae. The record is from RefSeq and is a predicted model, not a curated record.